CAAUAGCGUAUAUUAAAGUUGUUGCAGUUAAAAAGCUCGUAGUUGGAUUUCUGGUAGGAGUGACCGUGCCAGACUUGAUUGUCUGUGUAUUGUGUUGUCUCCAGCCAUCCUUGUGGAGAACUUUUCUUGCAUUAAUUUGUAGGGAUUGGGACCCGCAUCGUUUACUGUGAAAAAAUUAGAGUGUUUAAAGCAGGCAAUCGCUUGAAUACAUUAGCAUGGAAUAAUAAGAUAGGACUUUGGUACUAUUUUGUUGGUUUGUAUACCAAAUUAAUGAUCAACAGGAACAGUUUGAGGAUAUUCGUAUGAACAUGUCAGAGGUGAAAUUCUUGGAUUUUGAUCAGACGAACUACUGCGAAAGCAUUUAUCAAGGAUGUUUUCAUUAA
This 383-nucleotide ribosomal RNA is filed under the name uncultured eukaryote. RNAcentral describes it as "partial 18S ribosomal RNA". It matches the Rfam family "Eukaryotic small subunit ribosomal RNA", at positions 592 to 976 of the family's 1831-position model. The record is from RNAcentral.